GAGGGAAGGAUGAGGUGCCUCAGGCAGUCCGCUGAGAAUGUGUGGAAGUGUGUGUGUGUCUGCAUGUGUAUGUAAGUCAGGAGAUAAGGCUGUGUCUCCUUUUGGCCUUGCUGAUUGAGAUGUAGCUAUCAGAGAAUGCAUCAUGAUUUACUGGUCUCUAUCUCUUUUUAGACUGUGAGCACAUUGAGAGUAAGAACUAUGUCUUCCUCUUCUUUUUACCUGUAAAGAAUAGCACAGUGUCUGGCAUAUGGAAGCACACAAUAUAUUUUUGUUGUUGAACGCUUAAAUUACUUUCAAGUCUUUUUUCUUAUGGUAGUAAUGAACAAGGCUCUUCUUUCAUCCUCUGUUGGAUGUUUCUUUGGAUAAUGACUCCGAUUCUGGGAGGAUGGAGACACAAAACCAUUUGACGGGGAGAUUGGAAACACUGUCCGGUGGCCCCUGGGAUAAUUUGACAAAACUGAUGUCCUUUUGAAUGCCAAUUCCAAAUGAUUGGUGGUGGCUGUCCAGAGCUAUGCUGAGAAGGAUUCUGAGGCUUCCUACAAUCAAUUGGUGCUGUGUGCCAGGGCGAGGGAGCUGGAGGUAGCAUCAAGUGGCCAUAUAUUUGCCCUGGAGAGAACCCCAUCCGCCAGCCCCCUCUGGAAGCCAAUCAAGGAUGGGUUAGAGGGACAUGGGUGGUCAGUGAGGGCCAGUCCUCUCACAGACAUCUUAAAUUCUGGGUGACCAAACCUUCGGAAGAGUACCUUGUCUUGAGAUGACACGAGAAAAUCAUGCUUGUACCAGCAUGGACUUGGGACCUUCUUAAACUGAACCCAGUCUGUUUAUUCCAGAUCCUAGCAAUCAAGGGAGCCAUGGUGGGAUGAGCUGAUCAGAGGAACCUGCACCAGUUUAUGUGAACUUGAUUUCUAAGCUCCCGAGAUCUCUGUUGGCAAGACAGGAUCUCUGAGAGUUCGCCACCAUUCCUUCUAGUGUGUAGAGUGGAGGACUGCUACCUGUGUCAGGGCUCCAUAUCCCUGCUCACUUCUUCAUUUCUUCCCUGCUCUCAUCAUACAGCCCCCAGCAUCUGUGGCUGAGACAGCUUUCAUGAAACUGUCCCCAGGGCCUAUCACCCUUGUCAGGCCAUUGCAUGUUGUUCCUUCAAAGAUUUUACUUGGCCAGUUAUUUUAUUGUUUUGUUUGUUUUUCUUUUUGUGUUCUUCUAAAGUCCUUUUAAUUCCCAAGAUAUUUAAAAACCUCUAAUGUUUUCUAGUAAGGCAAAUAUUGGUUUAUUGGCAAAGAAUUAGAGGGUCUGAUGGUGAUAGACGAGGAGUGUAAGGAAUUGUAAAAUAGGCGUUUAAUGAAAUGAUAACAUGGCUCUCUUUGGGUAAAUUGUUAUACUAAAAAAAUCAUGAAUUUUGACUUUCUAUUCUAAUCUAUGAAUUUGAGAAAGUCAUUGUUUCCUCAUCUGUAAAAUGGGUACAUCCAUACCUCCCUCAUGGUGCCCAGUGUAUACGUGUGUGACAGAUUAAUAACAUCUCAACAGAAAAUGUGAGUUUCUCUUUCCUCUAUAGUCUGGUUUCAUUGCACAUGAGGUGAUUAUUAUCAAUCUUAAUUUUAAAGGAGUCCAGAGGAAUACUUUGCCAAUGUUUUCAUUUUCAAACUCCCAGUUAGGAAACUCUUCCUUACUCUAACUUACUAUCUAACCCAAAUCUCUCUGGUUUUAAUUUAUUCUGUAACAUGUGAAAAAAACUCACCAUCAUGCUGAUCAGGCUGCCCCCCCCGCCAACCAAAGGCCUAGAUGUGGCGACUGGGAGCCUGAGAGUCAUAAAGAGAGCAGAGGGCGGCAUUUACUUGGUGUACUUUCUUUGCCAGCAAGAUAGACUGCACUUGCCUGCAGGGCUGGAGGAGGGAGGAGAAUUACUCCUGAUCACUCUGUCCUGAUUCUGAACCCAGCUGAAACUCCUUCACAAGAAGGGAGUAUCGCUAGUGAGGAGAAAAUGCACUUGCUGCCAUGAACUCAAAGACCAAUGUCCUGUAUAAAGGAUUCUUGCAUCUGUAGACACUGUGAAGUUUCUAAGAGCUUGAAUUCAAGGGAGUGGAGAUCUUCCAGCCUUUAAAGGAAUUGAUGUUCCCACAGAACCCAACUAGCUGCCUGCUCACAGAAAUGAACACAUCCCACAGACAAAGCUGGGCCUACACGGAGGCAUUUCAUUGAUAUGAUGGCUCAAUAGUAGCACCUGGAGAAAUAUCACAGUGAAACCACUGUCGAUGCUGGGCAUUGCACUGACCUGAUAUCUGAAACGUCAGACAGAUUGCUCUAGAGUCUACCCAAUUUAGCAACAGUUUGCACUCGCUGGUGUUUUGAACAUGAAAAGAGCUUUCAAAGUGAAAGAACCAAUUUGAAAAGAGCUUCAGCAUCGCUGAUGGGCCAGGAGAAAAUGGGACUUUCCCAGUUGUGGAAUGGCAACGCGCUCCAUCGCCUUGAGGGCAGCAAUGAACAAGCUCAAGGUAAACACUAACCAGAAGCUGAUGUGUGCGGUGAACACUGUGAUACCUAAUCCAGAUGCAAUACCCCAUUCUGAUCAGGAAGGGAUUUGUCUCCAAGCUGUUGAAAAGUCGGUGGAAGAAGCCUCCCAACUGACAGCCUUCCUUGGGGAGAGACGACACUGGGAGGUAGGCAGAUCAUGUAGGGUCUUGGAGGCUAUGGUAAGAAGUUUGGAUUUUUUUUACCGAUUGCGUUAAUCAUAUCCUGUUGUUUUAUUAAGGGACUUGUUUUAGUUGUGAAACUCACUUGAAAAUUUCAUAUGCUCACUCGCAGAAUAAAGUCUCACCUUUUAGCUUGAAAUAUGGAGCCCUUUUUGAGUCGUACACUCUUAACCUUUCCUACCCUACACUCGCUAUUCCUCCCUUUCUUGCCCCACACAUAUAUCUGUCAGACUGAUCUGCUGAUUUUCCUCAGAAGACAACAUUUUCAUCCUGCCUUUGUCCCCAACUUUCCCCCUCUAUUUCCCAUGGCCUGGAAUGCCCUCCCCUUGCCUGUCAAAACCACUUACCCAUACAAGACCCAACCGAAACCUCCAUUCCAUGAAGCCUUCUCGGACUACCCAGCUCUCAGCAAUUUUCCCUCUUCUGGAUCAACAUUCUUAUUUUCUAUCUGUCCUAUUGAUUCUUAGUAAUUUCUAGUCCCCAUGGAAUGAGGAAGGGACUAGAUUCUCCAAAAGAGUCCAAGUGGAAGCAGCUUGGGCAGACAUGCCCCUUGUAGUAAGUGACUUCUAUCACUGCUGGAGAAACUGGUAGCUGUAAAAAUGAGGUGGAUUGAGACAGGUCAAGGUAAGGACAGAGGCAGAUAAGGCUUUAUAUCCUUAGAAUGUAGGAGCAGUAUUUGGUGUUCCUUCUUUGAGGAGAUUAUCUGCUAAGAGAGUGUUAAAGGUGGAAAAACUAACACAGAAUCCAGUUGGAACCAUUAGAGCUCAGGAUAACUGGAUGUUGUGCUGUAGCUGGGGCUGCCCUUCCUGACAGGGGAUGCCUCAUCUACAGUGUAUAGUUGCCUGGCUGGACACUGAAACCACUGAUGUUGCUGAUGCCAAGUGCCAGUGUUGGGCCAUGACAUCAGGAACCUCAAACAAAUAGAAAGAAGGAAGUCCCUUUCUCUGCUUUCCUUUUCCUGCUUUCCAAUCUCCCUCUGGUGCAGUAGAUCUGAUACCUGUUGGGGUGUUAGAAUGACCUGUGAAAGAGGUUAAAUGGUGAUAGCUAGGCUCCCCAGACCACUUGAAAACUAUUGUCAAGGUAUGGGCCCAGUCAUCUAUAGCUUGCAAAGGUUCCCAAGGUAUUCUGACACAGACUGAUGGUUGCAAUCCACUGCUUAGUGCCUCUUGUUGGCAAAACUAGGUGGCAAAGUUGUUUGGGGAAAGUGUUUUUCUGAAUCAGAAUCCCAGCAUCCCAAAGAAGAAUGCAGAAGAAUGGAUUUGAAUCUGAGAGACAGUAGUUAAAUACAUGGCACAAUAUCCUUCUAGAUAUGAAUAAGGUUAUGUUUUAGUGAAAAACCCAACUUCCACUAAGAUCUGGAAGAUCUGGAAUUAGGGGCAGUGGAUAUGACACUGAAAGAGAACCUAGGUUCCCAUGAGAGGAAGGGAGCAUUGAAGGAACCUUUCUCUAGGCUUCACUCAUAAGAGAAUUAUGUGUUACUUAAAAGAACACAUGCUAGAAUCACAUGGCUUUCCAUGUCAGCCCCAUCCACUUAUUAUUCUGAGCUCUUGACAUUAUUUAACCUCCCCCCCGCCCCCACUUUCCUUAUCAGUAAAGGAAA
Acinonyx jubatus (cheetah) is the source of this 4281-nucleotide long non-coding RNA. RefSeq lists it as uncharacterized. NCBI's taxonomy places the organism in Eukaryota, Metazoa, Chordata, Mammalia, Carnivora, Felidae. The record is from RefSeq and is a predicted model, not a curated record. The transcript has 5 exons.